RNAcentral lists this transfer RNA (76 nucleotides) under Erysipelotrichaceae bacterium. Its description in RNAcentral is "tRNA-His". It matches the Rfam family "tRNA". Rfam says of the family: Transfer RNA (tRNA) molecules are approximately 80 nucleotides in length. Lineage: Bacteria; Bacillati; Bacillota; Erysipelotrichia; Erysipelotrichales; Erysipelotrichaceae. The record is from RNAcentral.
UUGGCAGAGCGGCAAACGGAUGCCGGCAAAGUUGUGGCCUUUGUGGUUGCGGGUUCAAGUCCCGUCUGUCAACCCA